This 400-nucleotide unclassified non-coding RNA is filed under the name uncultured bacterium. RNAcentral describes it as "contains 16S-23S intergenic spacer region". The record is from RNAcentral.
UCCCCGUUGCCAGGGCAGUCUGAUUAGAAAAAUACAACUAAUCACAAGGGUUGCGCUCGUUGAUGGACUUAACCAAACAUCUCACGACACGAGCUGACGACGGCCAUGCAUCAUCUGUCACCGAGUUCCCCGUACUUAUCUCAACUAUACCUAUGACUUUAAAAUCACAGCGUUGAAACAACUACGGGGCACUCAAUCCUUUCGGAUUAAUUCUCGGGAUGUCAAACCUAGGUAAGGUUCUUCGGUUAUCAUCGAAUUAAAGAACAUAAUCCACCGCUUGUGCGGCUCCCCGUCAAUUCCUUUAUGUUUUAGUCUUGCGACCGUACUCCACAGGCGGGAUACUUAACGCGUUAGCUUCGCUACUGAAGGGGUCGAUACCUCCAACAGCUAGUAUCCAUCG